This 254-nucleotide ribosomal RNA is filed under the name uncultured bacterium. RNAcentral describes it as "partial 16S ribosomal RNA". It matches the Rfam family "Bacterial small subunit ribosomal RNA", at positions 524 to 776 of the family's 1533-position model. The record is from RNAcentral.
GACGUAGGGCGCGAGCGUUGUCCGGAUUUAUUGGGCGUAAAGAGCUCGUAGGCGGCUUGUCGCGUCAACUGUGAAAACCCGUGGCUCAACCAUGUGGUCUGCAGUCGAUACGGGCAGGCUAGAAUUCGGUAGGGGAGACUGGAAUUCCUGGUGUAGCGGUGGAAUGCGCAGAUAUCAGGAGGAACACCAAUAGCGAAGGCAGCUCGCUGGGACGGUACUGACGCUAAGGCGCGAAAGCGUGGGGAGCGAACAGG